Molecule: RNA transcript, 3428 nt
Organism: Canis lupus familiaris (dog)
Lineage: Eukaryota; Metazoa; Chordata; Mammalia; Carnivora; Canidae
Exons: 5
Source: RefSeq, a predicted model, not a curated record
UGUUACAUCUUGUCCCCAGGAGCCUCCAGUUGCCUAGGACUGGGGCCAGGACAGCAUUCCUGGGUCUCUGACCUCGGGGCCUGAGCAGCCUUUGAGAAAACUUGUGGAACGCUCAGAGCACCCCCGGGUCCUGGACCUCACGAGGCUCCGGGGUGCCACAAAGUGGCUGGUGGUCCCCAGGGUCGCGGAUCCGGCGCCUAUACCCAUCCUCUAGAGUGUCAUCUCCCCGAGACCACCAAAGAUCCACCAAGGUUAGGUGCCAAUGUCACCCCCCCCCCCACCCUUUAGAGAUACACAGAAGGACCCAGACUUGUUCAGGGUACCCCUUCCCCCAUGAGGUCGGGUCUCAAAACCCGAACUGCAAAGCUCCUCCGUCUCUCCCGCUCUAUUCACUCUGCUCCAGCCACGGGCACCUCCUCAUGGUUCUUACAACACACCAGGCGCGGUCCUGCCCCCGGGCCUUAGCACAGGCUGUGCCCUCUGCCUGAAAUGCCCUUUCCCAGGGCCGGCUCUUUCUCACAACUGAGGUCUGAGUUUGCACGUCCUCAGAGUCUAACUAGAUUUGAUCUGGGGGGAGAGAGGUGCCCAAGUCAGGGUGGAGCUGGCAGGACUGGGUGGUCCCUGUCUUCACCGCCUGGUAGGCCUCAAGUCCUGCACCAGCUUUAUUCUCUGUGCCUUUGCUCCAGCCGGGUCCCCAGCUGUCCCCAACCCCACCCCCACCCCCGCGGGCCCUUCCUCAGCCACAGGACACCUCAUCCCCCACACCUCCCACCUGGAGUCUGCCCCCUGCCGGGCCAGGCAGCCUGCUCCCGGCUUCAUUGCUGGGUCUGCCAUUCACAAGCUGUGUGACAGCAGGUAAAUCACUCAAUCUCUCUGGGCCCCCGACUCCAGAUCCUAAAAAACAGGCAUAACUAUGAGGAACCCAGCUUAGGAGCCGGGCGGGGAGAGAAGUGAAUGAGAUGACCCGUGACCUGCGCCCAGCACUGGGGUCUGACCGUUUCUCUCUGCCGGACUGGCCCUGCCUCCACUUUGAAAUCUUUCCAGUCAGGGAAUUUUCUAGAGUCCCAGUCCUCCGGCCUCUCCCACAGCUCCCCAUUGCCGCCCAGAUGCAGGCCACACACCGGCCCACAAGCCCCCCACCCCCCAUGAUGGUCAAGACCCUGCCCAUCGAUCUCUUCCACCUGAGGCCCUUGGAUGCUCCAAAUGCAUCUCGAGUCCUUGACCUCCAGAGCUUUGCAGACGCUGCUUCCAGCGCCAGGAGUGGCAGCGUCUCCUCCGUGGCACCUCGCCAGGCUGACUACUUACCCUUCAGGUCUCCUCGGUGGCCGGAUGCCUCCCUGGGCAGCCCUCAUCUGGCCACGGGGGAGAGGCAGGGACACGGGGAGGAGGCCGGCGGCAGCCUCGCCAGGAGCCCAGGCGGCAGGACAUGGGCAGAGUCUCCCCCGGGGCCUCAGGAGGAACCGCCCCCUGCCAACACCUGGGUUGUGGACUUCUGGCCUCCAGAGCUGGGAGAGAAGAAAGUUCAGUGGUUUCAUGACCCCCCCCUCCAGCCCCGCACCCCGGGGUGGUGGUUCCUUGUUACAGCAGCCGCUGCAGGCAAGGAACAUUCCCUGGGAGCCUUGCCCCAGGUCUGCGUCCAGGGGAGCCAGCGGGGCAAGGUGUCACCCCACCCAGAGUGGAGGGGGCAUCAUUCCCAGAAGUCACUGGUGCUGGCGGCUGUCGUCUUGUUCAAGCCACUGCUCAUUUCCCUAAGGGACGGGCCUGGGCCCCGCUGGAAUCCUACAUCUGUGUCUUUGCAUUUUUCAAGUCCCAGCCCUUUGUGGUGAGAGACUUGGGGUUUUAUGUUGUGAUUCUCACCACGGCCUUAAGGGAAGACGAUGGGAGCGUGGAUAUUUAGGGGAUGUUUGGGCUGCGCAGCAGAGCACCGCGAGCUGGGCGGCUGAGAACAUCCGAAAUUUAUUUUUUUCCAAGUUCUGGAGACCAGAGGUCCACGAUCAACCUGUCGGCAGCGUGUACCUCCCCCACCCCCCGACCCCCUCGAGGGCUCCUCUAGCUGCUGGAACCUGCUCUGCCCACGUGAGCCAGCCAGUGAGCACCCCUGGGAGCGGCCCCGGACCCACGACCGGUGGGACCCCGUGGACCAACACUCCAUCUCUCGCGCUCCUCAGGCGAUCAGAUGAAAUGGCUUUGGGGAUCUGCUUCUGAGGGGAGCCGAAACUAGGAGGCCGCCUGAGAACAGAGCCGGUGCAUAAGAAAACAGAACAAAGAGACCGAGAGACGCCCAGGAGAUUUCUGUCCCCACACAAUUAACCUCCCAGGGAAGAGGUGAGGCUUCCAGAACCUCACCCGAGAAGGGACACCCGGCACAACUGUAAGCCUGAUAUUCUAUUUCUGCUUCACCCACCUCUACCUGCCACCCAAUGUUUGCAGGGGGAGCCUCCUUUCGCGGUGCUGGCGGGGGCACGCUGAAGGUGUCCGGCUCCUCAGGCUGUUAGAAAACACAUGUCAGAUGGGGUGACGGGAUGUGUCCCGGAGCUCAGAGUCACAUGUAGUCGCGUGUCCUUCCCUCCUUCCUCCCGCAUCCCCGCAUCCCCUGUUGCACUCAGUGUCCAACUUGCCCCCCUCUGCGAGGAAUGCCCUGGGGGUCGGGGGGGCAAGGUGUGCAAGGGGUCAGGCAGGGAGAAGCCGUCCACCCGCAGCCAGACCCGGGCCCCUCUGUCUCUCGGUCUCUCCUCUCCGGGCAUCUCUGUUCCCGUCUCCCCUUGUGUUUCUCUCACUUACUCUCUCCUGCCUGUCGUGUUUCCUUCGGUGGCUCCGUGUCUGUCCCUUCGGCCCCGCGAUGAUGUGGUUGGCCUCCGUCUCCCCCCGCCGCGCCCUUGGAGCCCGACAGUGGCCCUCGCUGACCCAGCAGGCUGCUCCUCCCCUCGGACCGCUCACCUUCGGGGGGACAGAUGCACAGUCAGCAGAGGCCUUCUGAACACCGUCCCCCAGGGGCCACCCACUGCCCUUUGGGCUUGCCACUCUGCUUUUCCCCGUGGCCCCCAGGAGCCAGCGAGCCUGCAGAGAGGAGACGAUCAUCCCAAAGGCUGCAGCCGACGAGGGGGGCCGGACUGCCUUCCUGGCCCCAGAGCCCCGGGUCAUCCUGCCCCGCAGGCCCGGCGUCGGCUGCAAACCAACAGCGGCCUCGCUGUUUGGCCAGACUCCCCCCUUUCUCUUCCUACCUCCCCCCAUCCCCCCGCAGAAGGCAUUUCUGAGCAGAGGGAUCUGUCUGUCUGUCUGCCUGGGACAACGUGCGAGGCGCCCGACGACGCACCAUGGUGACCAAGACAAAACCCCUGACCUUACGGAGCUUCUGUUCCAGCUGAGAAGAGGGAAGACAGCCAAACAACGAAUUAGCUUAAUGAAUAAAGCAGCCAUCAGACGAAUCA